AAGAAACUAAUGCGGCCUUUACUCCGUCACUUUAUUCUUUCAACAAUAUCCUUCGAUAGUCUUCUUCUGCCUCCAUCGCUGCCGAUUGACGAAAUCCAUUUUGCGGGUAAGUAACCUCUACUCUUUCAAGCCCUUCCACUGCUAAUGCAUGUGCCACUUUAUUCGCCAUUCUUGAGGUAUUUUUAAACACGCAUGCUUCGUAGCCAGAACUUAGCAUUUUUGUGCUUAAGCCAUAGGCACUGAUUCCCGAUUUAUAUAUUUUUCCAGAUUGCACCUUUUUUAUAACUGAUAGCGCAUUGCCUUCGAUUUCAACUUUUCCUAAUCCCAGAUCCAACCUUAAUUGAGCUGCCUGGACACAGGCAAUCGCCUCUGUUUCAAAAUCGGUUGGUAUAUGCUCAUUUAGGCGCAUGGUAAAGUUUAGCACCCUCCCACUUGAAUCUCUGACCACUAUCCCUGAGCAUGACCUAUUGCUUUGUUUGUGAAAUGCAGCAUCAAAGGUAAUUUUACGAACAAUUCCCCCGGUGAUCUCCAACGCUCCCCCUCUAUUCUUCGUGCAGGUAACCUUUUGUUAAACUCCUCUAGUUCCUGUAUGUAACUUGUGAUGAAACUGGCUAUUUUUUAUUCAUUUUGAAAUAUCCCCUCAUGUAGGUAUUUGUUCCUAGUCCACAAAGCCCAGAAUGAGCAAACUAUUAUUCGACAGUUUUAUAUUGAACCAUUAUUGUAAAGGUACAACAUCCAUUCUUUAAAAUGUCUUUUAUUUAAUUUCGGCAGCUAAUCUAUGGCUUUCUCCGGGUAUUCUUUGCAGCUAAACAAUCCCGAAAGGCACGCUUAGCAUUUUCCACUUCGCUUGUACAAUUAGGACACUUGGCAGAUCCCACUAUCCUCCUUUGGUAUAGAUUAAAGACCCUCGAAUUCAUAAUUUUUACUUUUGAAGGUAGAUCUAGGGACCAGAGUUUUUUUGAAAAAAGUGUUGUAAUCUUGUUGUUCAUUGUUGAGAGUAGUCGAGUGUGUCUCUUGUAUAAGUAUUUUGUAUCCACUCCUUACUGAGUAUUCGCCAGAAGCCUCACCUCACCAUACCAGUCUAUCUUUUUGUGGUGCAUAUGGAAAAGGAAUACACAAAAUCAUUUCAGCCUCUUCUUCAUUAAAGGUAGUUCUAAGUACCCCUUCCUUCCAACCAUUAGUAGUUUGGUCAAUUAAAUCCGACACAUAACGUAUAUGUUGAUUGUUUUCUUGUGUUUGAAUUUUGAAA
This 1249-nucleotide long non-coding RNA is filed under the name Gossypium raimondii (Peruvian cotton). RNAcentral describes it as "long non-coding RNA (GRAI_LNC003633)". The record is from RNAcentral. Lineage: Eukaryota; Viridiplantae; Streptophyta; Magnoliopsida; Malvales; Malvaceae.